GGACUACCGGGGUUUCUAAUCCCGUUUGCUCCCCUGGCUUUCGCGCCUCAGCGUCAGAAGAGGUCCAGCAGCUCGCUUUCGCCACCGGCGUUCCUUCCGAUAUCAACGCAUUUCACCGCUCCACCGGAAGUUCCAGCUGCCCCUACCUCGCUCGAGACCCGCAGUAUCCAAGGCUAUUUUCCGGUUGAGCCGAAAGAUUUCACCCCGGACUUGCGAACCCGCCUACGCGCCCUUUAAGCCCAGUGAUUCCGAACAACGUUCGCACGGUUCGUCUUACCGCGGCUGCUGGCAC
This 292-nucleotide ribosomal RNA is filed under the name uncultured bacterium. Its description in RNAcentral is "partial 16S ribosomal RNA". RNAcentral also lists the same sequence under 2 other names. The record is from RNAcentral.